GCUGUCUGGAACAGGAAGUAAAACGGGCCGAGAUGGAGCAAACACGGAGUAUGUCUCCAAGAAAACCCUCUCCUCCUCACACAACGUAUUACUAACUGACCCAGCCCCCUGCACUGAGUAUCUUCGGUCUGAAACCCUUGUACGAGAAAGGGGCUUCUGCUGGGACCCUCCCCUACCAUCCAGCCCUCAAGGAAAUGCUAACACAACUAGCAACAAGUAGGAAAGAUGCGAGCUGAGGGAGUCUGAGGAAGAAGAAUGGGUAAGGAGGAGAAGGUUGCCCACCCCUCCCCUUUCUCUGCCGGCCACCCCCCCUCACACUGUCCGCUCCUUGAUGACACAGCUGAUGUGAUUAAGAUCGUCCCCAAAUCGCUUCA
Mesocricetus auratus (golden hamster) is the source of this 374-nucleotide long non-coding RNA. RefSeq lists it as uncharacterized. The transcript is spliced from 2 exons. Lineage: Eukaryota; Metazoa; Chordata; Mammalia; Rodentia; Cricetidae. The record is from RefSeq and is a predicted model, not a curated record.